This 1935-nucleotide long non-coding RNA is filed under the name Nicotiana benthamiana. RNAcentral's name for it is "long non-coding RNA (NBEN_LNC022685)". Lineage: Eukaryota; Viridiplantae; Streptophyta; Magnoliopsida; Solanales; Solanaceae. The record is from RNAcentral.
CGAAGAACACGUUUCGCUCGUUAAGGAGUACAGAGGUAAAGUUGAGAAUGAGUUAACGGAGGUUUGUGCUGGUAUACUCAAGUUGCUUGAGUCGAAUCUCGUGCCGUCUGCUUCUACGGGUGAAUCGAGGGUGUUUUACCUCAAAAUGAAAGGUGAUUAUUACCGGUAUCUUGCGGAGUUUAAGGUUGGAGAUGAGCGGAAGCAGGCUGCUGAAGACACUAUGAAUUCUUAUAAGGCUGCUCAGGUACUGUUUUAGUUGACUUUUUUCUAGGUUUUGAGUUUGUGCUGUUUACUGUUCUUCAGAUUAGGGAAAAUUAAGUCUCGGAUGUUUUAAUUACUUGUUUUGAUAGUAGGAUUAUCGUAUAGAUCGUGAAGUAAAUGUAGAAAAUUGUAGCUAGAUUUCGCAAGAACGAAGAACACGUGUCGCUCGUUAAGGAGUACAGAGGUAAAGUCGAGAAUGAGUUAACGGAGGUUUGUGCUGGUAUACUCAAGUUGCUUGAGUCGAAUCUCGUGCCGUCUGCUUCUACGGGUGAAUCGAGGGUGUUUUACCUCAAAAUGAAAGGUGAUUAUUACCGGUAUCUUGCGGAGUUUAAGGUUGGAGAUGAGCGGAAGCAAGCUGCUGAAGACACUAUGAAUUCUUACAAGGCUGCUCAGGUACUGUUUUAGUUGACCUUUUGCUAGGUUCUGAGUUUGUGCUUUUUACUGUUCUUCAGAUUAGAGCAAAUUAAGUCUCGGAUGUUUUAUUACUUGUUGUGAUAGUAGGAUUAUCGUAUAGAUCGUGAAGUAGAUGUAGAAAACUGUAGCUAGAUUUCGACUUGAACAUAAAGAACUAAUUUUAGCCAUUCUGAUCUGGAUUUUCUGUAUUUGUGUUGAGAUUGUUGUGGAGAAUGUUAAAUAGGGUUUGAUUUUUCUAUUGCUGUUUAGUUUUUUCUGUUACAAAUAUAGUAACCUAACUAAUAUGGAUAAAAUUGUGAAAAAUGAAUUGCAUCCAGGUGUUCCUAGUUACUUGGUGAUAGCAGGAUUAGUGUUGAGAUGGCAAUAAUGCAUCUUGAAAUUGCAGUUAGAGUUCAAUAUGGAUUGUAAAAAUUUAGCCAUUGUGAUCUGGAUUUAGUUCUUUUGAGUUGAGAUUUUGGUGUAGAUUCUUAUAUUGGUGUGUAAGUUUCGAUUUUUCUGUUGCACUUCUUUUUUCCAUUAUAGCUUUUACUAAAAUGAUAGGUGGCGUCAAGAUGAGUGUUUAAGCUGCAUCUUCAGUUGAUUGUUUCAUUGCAUUGCCAUCUUUGACCAUUGAACGACAACUAAGAAUCUUAUAAAAAAUAUUACAACAACUAAGAGGACAAGAAGGGACAAAGCUUUGUGGUCUGCAGAUUGUAGCCUUACUCUGUUUUGUUCCGAGAUAUCGCUUUUCUGGUGUGGUGUUUCAUAUUUGUAUCAGCUGAAGUGUCAUUCCCAUCCAAGAAGGCUCUCUCAACACCAAAUUGUCUUUAUGCUCGUUUGAAAUUAUAGAUUGGACUGAAAUUAUAAGAAGUCCUUGCUGUGCAAAGUUACGAGAUCAGUUGUAAUGUUAGUGAAUAUCCAAGGAUAUGCACAUUGGUUAGGCUUAAUCCAGUUUAGCUUUAGUUGCAUCAUUGAUAUAGUUAGAAAUCCUCUAGGUUCAAUUUUCUUGUGUGAGAUUAGGUGUCUGAAUAACAAUAACUUCACAUGCAAAGGCUUUCUUAUUAUGCUGCAGGUGUUUAGAAACUGUAUAGAGAACAUUCAGGUGAUUUAACCUGGAGUUCUCAUUUCUCGCUUUGGCUCCAUCUGGCUCUUGAUGAACUGUUAAUUUUCGAAAAAUGUUAGUCAGGCAUGCGUGUGUUUAUCGGUUCUACAGUUGGUCAAGUCUUGAAUGUUCAUAUGUUUGCAGUUGGUGUUGUAUGCAAAGUUCCAUCAUAUGGUUGG